GUCUAUAGACAUACCGCCCUGAAUGCACCCAAUCUUGUCUGAUCUUGGAAGCUAAGCAGGAUUGGGCCUGGUUAGUACUUGAAUGGGAAAAAAGAAAAAAUACACACAGCCAGCCAAGAAUACUAUAGCUG
This 131-nucleotide ribosomal RNA is filed under the name Aotus nancymaae (Ma's night monkey). The record is from RNAcentral. Lineage: Eukaryota; Metazoa; Chordata; Mammalia; Primates; Aotidae.